Molecule: ribosomal RNA, 460 nt
Filed under: uncultured bacterium
Lineage: Bacteria
Description: partial 16S ribosomal RNA
Rfam family: Bacterial small subunit ribosomal RNA
Source: RNAcentral
CCUACGGGAGGCAGCAGUGAGGAAUAUUGGUCAAUGGGCGCGAGCCUGAACCAGCCAAGUAGCGUGAAGGAUGACUGCCCUACGGGUUGUAAACUUCUUUUAUAAAGGAAUAAAGUGAGGCCCGUGUGCCUUUUUGUAUGUACUUUAUGAAUAAGGAUCGGCUAACUCCGUGCCAGAAGCAGCGGUACUACGGAGGAUCGGAGCGUUAUCCGGCUUUAUUUGGUUUAAAGGGAGCGUAGAUGGGUUGUUAAGUCAGUUGUGAAAGUUUGCGGCUCAACCGUAAAAUUGCAAUUGAUACUGGCAGCCUUGAGUACAGUUGAGGUAGGUGGAAUUCGUGGUGUAGCGGUGAAAGGCUUAGAUAUCACGAAGAACUCCGAUUGCGAAGGCAGCUUACUAAACUGCCACUGACAUUGAUGCUCGAAAGUGUGGGUAUCAAACAGGAUUAGAUACCCCGGUAGUC